RNAcentral lists this transfer RNA (76 nucleotides) under Nautilia lithotrophica. RNAcentral describes it as "tRNA-Val". It matches the Rfam family "tRNA". From Rfam's summary of the family: Transfer RNA (tRNA) molecules are approximately 80 nucleotides in length. Their secondary structure includes four short double-helical elements and three loops (D, anti-codon, and T loops). Lineage: Bacteria; Pseudomonadati; Campylobacterota; Epsilonproteobacteria; Nautiliales; Nautiliaceae. RNAcentral also lists the same sequence under 7 other names. The record is from RNAcentral.
GGUCGCUUAGCUCAGUUGGGAGAGCACCAGCCUUACAAGCUGGGGGUCGCAGGUUCGAGCCCUGCAGCGACCACCA